Molecule: long non-coding RNA, 9331 nt
Organism: Solanum tuberosum (potato)
Lineage: Eukaryota; Viridiplantae; Streptophyta; Magnoliopsida; Solanales; Solanaceae
Exons: 3
Source: RefSeq, a predicted model, not a curated record
GCAAGGGACCUGACCAACUGAAGAUUUUCUUAUGUACCUGUUGUUGUUCUUGAAUGUUAGUAUUGAGCUAAACUUGUAGGAUUCGUUUCAUUUUUGUAAGUAACGUUUCAAACUCUUGUGUGUAGUGAGGGUAACAACAUUGUUAGUGUUAACUUUGUGUCUUACGAUAAAAGUCUAUAUUAAUCAAUGAGGGUUAGUAUAGUGGGCAAUGGAUGCAUUGCUUAGGCUAAGUAAGUAAUAGGCGUAUUACUUAGUGUUGAUAUUAAGAGUUUAAUCUCAUUGUUGGUUGUAAUCUGUGUUUCACUUUUUGCUUGAGAAGAUUAGUGAAAACAAUUGAAAAUUUUGUGUGGCAGGUCGUGGUUUUACUCCCUUGAGCAAAGAGGUUUCCACGUAAAACUCUUGUGCCUGUUUUACGGUGUUCUAUUCAUUUUCUGUACUUUUAUUCUGUCAGAGGACCUGGUCCUGUGAUCACUGGUGGACGCGUAUAUUCCAACAAUUAAUAUCAGAGCUUGGGCUCUCUAUCUGGCUAACACCAAUAGAGAGGUUCCUGUAAGGAAUGACGACACCACUGAACCUGCAAAGAAGUCAGUCCCUUAUAAGGCCACCUUUUUUUUAUGGUCAGUUCUAUAGAUGGUGGAGGAUUCGAAUGAGUGACUAUCUCAUGGCAGAGGACAUUGAGGUAUGUAGUGUCAUAUGUAAAGGUCCUUAUGUGCCAACUAUGGAGGUUAAAGAUGGAGAGGUCACAAGAGUCAUUCCCAAAACUCGACAAUAAUAUAAUGACUCUGACAGAAAAUUAGUCCAGAAAAAUCACAAAGCCAGGAAACUGCUAAUGUGUGGCAUUGGAGUAAAUGAAUACGAUCUGAUCUCAUCUUGUGAAUCAGCCAAGGGAAUCUGGGAUAUGUUGAGAACAACGUAUGAGGGUACUGAGGAGACAAGAAAAUCUAAGCUAGAUCUCUUCACUACUCAGUUUGAAAGUUUCACCAUAAAAGAAGGUGAAUCCAUUCAUGAAAUACGUACCAGAUUCUCCACCAUUACAGAUGAGCUUAUGUUCCUUGAAAGACCAGUCCCUGUGAGUAAGAAAGUCUCUAAGAUACUGGAAAUUCUUCCCAGAUCUUGGACAAAUGAUUUUGUGACUGGUGAUGAGACAAGGGAACCUGAAGUAGUGACAAUGUAUGCACUAUUUGAGCAUCUUCAAGUUCAUGAGAUGCACAGAAAAAAGGAGGGUCGCAUUCUCAAGGGCGAAGACAAGAGGACAGAUUUGAUUGAUGAUGUUGAUCAGAAGAGAGAUGCAAAAAGGGAUGAAUCACUUGCUUCCAAGGUGUCACAAAGUGAAACCCCUGAAAUAGAUGAGAACAUAGGUUAUUUCACUCAAAGAUUUCAAAAAUUCGUGAGAGAAAGUGGGGUUUCAUGAAGAAAGAAAAUCAUGAUAGUGCUACAAGCUCUAGUGACAUGUGUUACAAGUGUGAUCAACCAAGUCACUCCAUUAGAGACUAUCCUAUGCAUAAAGCUGACCCCAAGGAAUAUGUCAAGACUGGAGAAGGUAAAGACAAAGAGGGGACCAGGUCUGUGACAAGUCAAGCAGAAGAGAAGAUGUUUAUCGGGCGGUGAAGAAGGAUCUAACUUCAUGGGAAAAUUCUUCAAGUGAUUCAGAUGAUUCAGAACACUCUGAUGAUGCUUUCAUGGCAAACUCUAAUGAGAAAGAUGCUGAUGAAAAGGUAGAACUAUAAUAUUUCAAGCAAAACUUGAAUACCUUUUCUACUAGUAAAUUGAGAAAGGUAGUUGUUGUACUACCUGAUUUGAUAAGUUAGCUAACAACGGAGAAUGAUCUCAUGAACAAUACCCUAGAUAUCUCUCAAGAUGGAAAAAUUGCUUUAGUUGCCCAAAUAUCUGAUAUUGAAAAUCAACUGGUUGUUCUAGAAGCUGAAAAUCUAGAACUGAAGGAAAAGAUAAAAGGGGUGGGUGACUACUACAGUUUUUAAGGGAAAGAAUGAGGCCAGCAGCUUGCAGCUGGAUCUUGAAAGUAAGUUGCACACUUCUGAAAUGAAGAUGAAAUUGGCUCUAGAAAGAAAUCUUGUGCUGGAGAGGGACCUGGUCCGUAUAAAAAAGGAACUGAACAAAUCCCUCAAAUUGACUAAUUCAUCUAGGAUUCUUACAAAUCUAAUUGGUCAAGGCAACAACAGUAGAAGAGGGUUGCGUUGUGAUAAGAUAGAUCCCCCAUACAAUCCUAACAGCAAAAUGGUUACUGAUGCUGAUAAUUUGUUAUGUGUGCAUUGUGGUCGAGAUGGACAUCUUAAGAAAGAUUGUCAUGUUUUGAAAAAAUAUUAAAGAAGUUCCUCUAACUAUUCCAAACAGAGGAACAAAUAGAAGAAGGGACCUGGUCUUGCUUCUGGUCCUAAGUUGAAGAAAAUCAGUCUGCCUUACUGGACAAAGAAUUCUCUUAUCACUCAUUUAUCUUCUUGUUGGGAACUCCAUCUCAAAUAGGUUCCCAAGGCUAACAAGUGAUAUGGUAUUCAAGUGAGAGGAAGUAGCAGCAGUCAGUGUUGGUUCAUGAAUAGUUGAUGCUCAAAGUACGUGACUGGGAAAUUGAAAACUUUCUCUCUCUCAAGGCACUUCAAGGUGGAGGUGUCUCAUUUGGCGAUGGCAAGAAAAGGUAUAUUCUUGGUGUAGGCAUGUCUGGGAAGUCUAUGGAACACACCAUAGAGGAUGUGUACUAUGUUAAUGGUUGAAGUACAAUCUUUUAAGUGUUUCAUAGAUUUGUGAUGAAUGAAAAGAAGUUAAGUUCUUAUCAAAAAAUGUGUUGUCACAAACAUGCUCUCUCGGGUGAUAAUCUUGACAGAAAAGAGAUGCAAGAACAUCUAUAUUGCUGAUCUGAAUACUGCUCGUAGAGAAAGUCUCACUUGUCUUAGUGCUCAAAGUGAGAAUGUUGAGGUAUGACAUGAAAUACGUGCUCAUGUGAGUGCUUCUCUACUGCACAAACUUGUGUAAAGGGACGUGGUCCGUGGUCUGCCCAAAAUAAAAUUUGCUGAUGACAAAGUUUGUGAUGCUUGUGUUAAAGAGAAGCAGAUUACACCAUCCUUCAAGUGGAAUAAGCAGGUUGUUAAUCUUCCUAAGAACUUUUGGCUGAAAUAGUGAAUAGUACAUAUUUUGUGACCAAAAUGAUGAUAUUGAGAAAUGUAAUCUCAAUGAUGUUAAAAGAGUAUUUGUGGGAUAUUCUUCCACCAGCAAGGCUUAUCCGGUGUAUAAAAAUGUGUGCAUUGAAAAAAUGUUCAUGUGAUUUUUUAUUAGUCUGGAAGAAUAGUGAAGUAAUUUGCAAAACAAAGAAGAUUCUGAGAUGGAAGAGAUGCUUCAGAUUCAGAGAGAUGGUCUAAACAAUGAGCUUGCUGAAGAAUAUCCUCUUCAUGAAUCCAACAAUCCCAAGGAAGCUGAUGUAAAUGAUGAACUUGAUGAGGGACCCGGUCCGAUAGACAAUACUGAACAAAAAUGAUGCAGUUCAAACUGAUAAUGUGAAUUUUGAAGGUGAAAAUGAAGAAGUUGAUCAAGCUCAGUUUGAAAGAAGCAAAGUAUGACACUCGACUCUCCGACCAGCUGACAGAUUUUCCAAGUUCCUCUUCAACGUUGGUUUCAAAAGAGGUAAAAUUGACAAAAUCCUCUUUUUAAAAUCAAAAGGAAGGGGGUUGCUUAUUAUUCAAGUAUAUAUUGAUGAUAUCAUCUUUGAAGCAACAUUUGAGGUGUUGUGUGAAGAGUCUGUUGCACUCAUGAAUAUUGAGUUUUGAAGUGAGCAUGAUGGAAGAAUUAAAUUCUUCAUAGAACUACAUAUCAAGAAAGUCUCUUAAGGUACCCUUGUUUGUCAAGAAAAGUUCAUCAAGGAGCUGCACAAGAGGCUUGAUAUACUUGAAGUCAAGACAGUGUUAAAAAGGGGUAAUGUCAUCAUGAAGCCUUGCACAAUUGAAGAUCAAGUGGCUGACAUCUUCACCAAAGCUCUAAGCAAGGACUAGCUUGUCAAGAACAAGGACCUGGUCCCAUCUUUUGAAUACCAAAAAUGACACUUUCUUUCACAUAAUACACCCUUUCACUUCCUUUAUACUCCAUAUUUCUUUUCAAAUCCCCUUCCAAAAUCAGAAAUUUUUAAAACCCUCUUUACUCCUCUCUAAAAAAAACACUUCAAAUGGUUAAACCCUUUGUUCUUACUGAAGAAUUUUCUGAUGAAGAUGUUUUUUAGUGUGAAGAGAGAACUAGGUCGAACAAGCAAGAAGAAGAAGGAGGAAAAGAUGAUGUUCAAAAGGGAAGAGGUUGAUAUUCUGAAAACUCAAAGUUUUCUGAAUAGGAGGGUGUCUGACCUUGAAAUAAAAAAAUAAAAAAACUGAAAAAAUUAUGAAAUGGUUCCUCAGUUAUUGAUCUAUUCAUCUUGGAGGCCUUGAGUAAGUUCGAUUAUACUAAUCUUUCUGUCAUGAGAAACUCAGGCUAGCGUUGGAAGCUAUGACAGUUGCUCUUGCUAACAGGGAUACUGAAAUGGUUUUCCUGAAGGCUCAGCGUCUAAAACAGCACAAUCAGAGAGACCAGGUUAUAAAAAAAACCGACAGCCCUGAAAGUUCAACAUGAAACCUGGGCAGCAAAGAAUGUGAACUUCACCAGAGGUAAGGGAUAUGCUCUACUAAUUAUAUUCUAUAAACUCCCGUGUCAGUCCUCCUCAUUUUCUAUCAAAACUUAGUGGGAAUUGUCUUGGUUCUCAUUCGUAAUUAUAUGUGCAAUGCUUUGAUUGCUGAUCUUUUAUUUUUGAAAUAAAAAAUGUCUUAUUUCUACUGACUUGUCUCAUUACUUUAUGCAUUUUUACUCAUGCUCAGUGUUGCCCAAGUGGCCAUGAAUUUUCUUGAACUGCAUUUCUGUCAACUUGGUUUACUGCUUUAACCCUUUUUUAUGAUGUCAAGAGGUGGAAAAUUCUUAAGGUAUGAGAUCAAUAAUGCUAGCUAUUUGAAGAAGACAUGGUCAUGCCGAUAGGGGGAAUAAAUGAUAGUUACUUGAAGAGGACAUGGUCAUGCCGACAGGGGAAGAAGUUGAACAAGUUUGUCAUCAUCAUAAAAGGAGAAAAUGCUAUUUUGAUGUUUUGGUGAUUUGACAAACUUCGGGGAUGAUGAAAAUAAAGGGACCAAUCCAAUUACCUGAAGAGUCAUGUUGAUAGGGGGAACUGGUGAAAGGGGGAAGAAGGUAAAUAUGUUUGUUAUCAUCAAAAAAGGGGGGAAAUCUAUUUUGGAGCUGAUGUUAAGUUUUGAUGAUUUAACAAACUUAGAUAUCUAACAAGGAAACAUAUCUUUGUUAUUGAGACAGACGACAGGGGAAAUGAAUGAAUAAACUCAGUGUCAGGAAUAUUUGUAUGUCAUCAUCAAAAAAGGGAAGAAAUGUUACAUUCUAGGUGUUUUGAUAAUCCUCACAAAUGCAGGGACCCGGUCCCUAGCAGAGUGCUCUCGUCCAGAUUCAAAUGGAGUACAACUGUAAAGUUGUCUUGUCGGUGGGUUGGUGAAGUCGUCAGCGUACUUCACCAAUAGAAACGGAUGAGGUUGUUUGUCCAAUGGACAAUAAUUCAUUUUGGUUGAUAUAAUCAAAAUGACAAACAACAAGAAGAUUCAUUCAUUCAAAAGAGGAAGAGAGUUACCAAGUCUUCUCAAGAACUCACAAAGAACAUUGCAAGGGACCUGGUCCCUGCAAGAAUGUGUAUGUGAAAAGGAUGACAAGACAGUUGUUAGAAAAGCUGCCACCUCUGAUGUGGUUGGUGCACGUCCUUUUAGAGAAGCAAACUCUCAGCCAAUAGGGUUGUCUUAAGGAGUUUGUGUUCAUUUUAUUUAGUCUAUUCUAUAAAAACACAAACUCAAGAUUUGGCAAACAAAAACUUUGAAUUUCUGAAAAUGCAUAGGCUUAAGAAGAGAAGGCCAUCUUCAACAAGAACUCUUAUAGCAAGGGACCUGACCAACUGAAGAUUUUCUUUAUGUACCUGUUGUUGUUCUUGAAUGUUUGUAUUAAGCUAAGCUUGUAGGAUUCGUUUCAUUCUUGUAAGAAAUGUUUCAAACUCUUGUGUGUAGUGACUAGUGAGGGUAAGAACAUUGUUAGAGUUAACUUUGUGUCUUACGGUAAAAGUCUAUAUUAAUCAAUGAGGAUUAGUAUAGUGGGAGAUGGAUGCAGUGCUUAGGCUCGAUAAGUAAUAGGCGUAGUACUUAGUGUAAAGAUUAAGUAAUAGGCGUAUUACUUAGUGUUAAGAUUAAUAGGCGUAUUGCUUAGGCUUGGUAAGAAAUGUUUCACUUUUGCUUGAGAAGAUUAGUGAAAACAGUUGAAAAUCCUGUGUGACAAGUCAUGGUUUUACUCCCUUGAGAAAGGAGGUUUCCAUGUAAAACUUUUGUGCUUGUUUUACGUUGUGCUAUUUAUUUUCUGCACUUUUAUUCUGUCGGGGGUACUGGUCCUGUGAUCACUGGUGGACGCGUAUAUUUCAACAUUUAAAAAUACUGAUAUGUAGUAAAAUCAUUUCAAGCUGGAUUUUUGGGCCUAGGGGUGUGAUUGACGCAUCCCUUGCAGGUUGAAGACGAUGAAGGUCGGUAUAAAGGCUUUGCUUUCCGCUAUAGCAGAGGAAACUAUAGCGGAAAAAUUAUCGAUAGUCUCUCUUUCUGGACAAAUCUUUUGUUAGGAUAUUUUAUGAUUUCUAACUUGAUAGUCGUGCAUUUGCAAAUUCAUAACUCAAAUGGUUUCCAAUCAGGAACAACCUUAUCUUUACAUAAGAUUUCCUGACAAAGUUAGUCGGGAACGAUUCAUGAAAUACCAUACUAUGGGAUUUUGUUACGUGAGGUCCUUUCGUAUGUGAGGUGUCGAGGAGAAGGCGCCAACUUUUUACCAACAAAUCCAGUAGUUUGGUUGUGGUCCCUUGGUUGAGGCUCCCCAGUCCGCCCUCUUAGGCUAGGUGAGGGAGUUCUUUGCUCUUAUCUCGAUGGUCCUUUGGGAUUCACCUCAACCUUUCUUUUGCAUUCGAAGGGUGCAGGUUCUGUGGAUGUUCAAAUGGUUAAUGGAGGUUCUAAGGGUGUCGAACGUUCCUAAUGAUGAGCUUGUGGCCAGGCUAAAGGAAAUGGAUAUGAAGUGGUUGUCGGACUCACUAGUCGACGAGGAGUAACGGGGUAAGGUAUAUUGGUCCACUACCAAGGGAAGUACUACUAGUGCCACUUCUCUCUAGAGGAAUGGAGGUGGCUGACACUGGUGGGCCUGAGGAUUCGGUCAUUAGGCAACCUUACUGAUGUAACUUAUCUCCGGGCCUAAUAGUCGUCUAUGCAUAUUAGAGGGACUCAAUUGAAUGUGGAGGGGGGGGGGUACAAAAAGUGUCAGAGUGGAAGGAUUUCUAUCAAGGCAGCAAGAAGGGCUCGUUCCUUCCUGAGUUGGUGUCCCUUCUUUGUAGAUGAGUUGGGGUACCCAAGAAUGAUACUGACCAGAUAGACGAGAUGGACCACCCGUUCAAUCCCCUACUGGUGAGGAAGCUGCUCACCCCGGAGCAGAAAAGUAAGAGGGUAGAUGGAGAUUGGAGUAGUCAUGUUGCAGUAGGUUCAAGUGAGAUUGUAGUGAAUAACAAAAAAAGGCGGGCAUUCCUUCAAUUAUUUUCAUGGACGAACUGACUUAUGGUCUGGAUGCAAGGGCAGCAGCUAUUAUUGUGAGAACUGUUACAAAAACGGUGGAUACUACGAGAACUGUUGUAUGCACAAUUCACAAACAAAGUAUUGAUAUUUUUGAAGAAUUUGAUGAGGUGAAACCCUGUGAACGAAAAUGUCUCUUAGAAUUACAACCCCUCUCUAUCUUAUAUGCUCUUUUAUGUUGUGGAUCAGCUACUUCUUAUAAAAAGAGGAGGACAACUAAUUCUCAAAAAAUUAUUGAAUAUUUUGAGGUACUCUAUGAAACCACUAAAGAACCACCUCCUUUUGUCCCUUGAACGAGUGAAAGACAAAAUACCAAUUCCAACAGUUCCUAAAAUUAAAGAGAAAUGCAAUCCAACCACAUGGAAUUGAGUUUGCUUAAUACAAUUCAUCAGCUUCUUAUCAACGAACAUAGUACUCUCAGUCAACAUGGGGACAGUUCAAAUACUGCUUAUGGAAAGAAUGGUGAGCUUCUUUCACUUGGCUGCAGCACUCAUGGUUGGAACAAUUUUCCGGAAAGUUGGCUGUAAAAGGUCUGCUUCCACUUUAUAGCUAACAGAUAGAAACUUUCAGAAAAAAAAACAACAACAUAAUCCCACAAGUGAGGUCUGGAGAGGGUAGAGUGUACGCAGACCUUACCCCUACCUCAUGGAAUUAGAGAGGCUGUUAGAAAGGCAACUAAUUUACAUCUUUAUAUUGUUUCUGCGGUACAGAGAAACUAGCAGUGAUUUAACGUCAAUCAUUGGGGCAAUGUACACUGCUGUUCUGUUUGUUGGAAUCAACAAUUAUUCAACUGUCAGGCAAUUGUAGCCGUUGGAAAAACCGUCUUUUAUCGAGAAAGAGCUGUUGCAUGUACUCAGCAUUGCCAUAUGAUAUGGCACAUGUAACUUUUAUUUAUAAAUUAUCUUCUAUUACCUUAUUGAAUUUCACAAAUUCAUUUAUUCGGAUUGCAGGUCAUUUCUAAAAUACCUUACAUUAUUAUCCAAACUACAUACUACACUCUUAUAGUGUACACAAUGGUUGGAUUUGAGUUGACAGCAACUAAAUUCUUCUGGUUCUAUUUGGUGACCUUCUUCUCCUUUCUAUAUUUUAUGUACUACGGAAUGAUGACUGUUGCUAUCACACCAAACCACCAUGUAGCUUCGAUCUUUGCUGCACUUUCUUCUCACUUUUCAAUCUCUUCUCAGGUUUCUUCAUCCCCGGACCAAGAAUUCCAAAGUGGUGGAUUGGGUAUUACUGGAUUUGCCUGGUGGCAUGGACUGUGAACGGGUGCAUUGUCUCACAGUAUGGUGAUGUCGAAGAUACCAUAAAAGUUCCAGGAAUGUCUAUUGACCCUAAGAUUAAGGACUACAUCAUAGACCAUUUUGGAUAUAAUCCAAACUUCAUGGGACUAGUUGCCACAGUGUUGGUCAGUUUUGCAGUCUUUUAUGCAUUUGUGUAUUCCUACAGCAUUAAGACACUGAACUUCCAGAGGAGGUAGAUAGAUCUUAAUAGUUACACUGGCUUGUAAUUUCUAUCAUAAGUCACCGUUAUCUCAUAGUAGAGUAUGGUAAUUGUUACAUAUUAUGCUAAACUCAUAGGAUGUAAAGAGCGACCAAUAAGGUGUCCACCUCUAUAAAGAUGCAUUGCAUUUGAAAGUUCUGUAAAUAACUAUUUAUGUUGCAUAUAUAUAUACUCGU